Molecule: ribosomal RNA, 497 nt
Filed under: uncultured bacterium
Lineage: Bacteria
Description: bacterial SSU rRNA
Rfam family: Bacterial small subunit ribosomal RNA
Source: RNAcentral
AUUGAACGCUGGCGGCAUGCCUUACACAUGCAAGUCGAACGGCAGCACGGACUUCGGUCUGGUGGCGAGUGGCGAACGGGUGAGUAAUAUAUCGGAACAUACCCUAGAGUGGGGGAUAACGUAGCGAAAGUUACGCUAAUACCGCAUACGAACUAAGGUUGAAAGUGGGGGAUCGCAAGACCUCAUGCUCAUGGAGUGGCCGAUAUCUGAUUAGCUAGUUGGUGAGGUAAAGGCUCACCAAGGCGACGAUCAGUAGCUGGUCUGAGAGGACGACCAGCCACACUGGAACUGAGACACGGUCCAGACUCCUACGGGAGGCAGCAGUGGGGAAUUUUGGACAAUGGGGGCAACCCUGAUCCAGCAAUGCCGCGUGAGUGAAGAAGGCCCUCGGGGUUGUAAAGGCUCUUUUGUCAGGGAAGAAAAGGUUGUAGGCUAAUAUCCAUGACUCAUGACGGUACCUGAAGAAUAAGCACCGGCUAACUACGUGCCAGCAGCCG